UUUUUUAAUCUCUGUUCUUUGAUUUCAUUGUAUUGAUUUCAUGUGUAAGUAAGGGCUGAUCUUUUUCUUGAGUGGUUGUAGUUCAAUUUAUUCCAACAAUUUCGAAGCAAAACACUAUGAGCUCCAACCAUAGAAUUAUUAUAGAUCCGUCCAAGCUUGAAACCAUCAAUGGCACUAACUACAAACAGUGGUCUUAGAGGAUGAUGAUCGUUCUGGAACAGCUGAGAGUAGAUUAUGUCAUUCGCACAGAUCCACCUCCUGCGUCAGGAGCUUCAUCUAACAAUGCUCCAGUCGUUGCCAUUGAUGCAUCCAAGAAAGCACAAACAGUUGGGGACAAAGAUGGCCAACCUUCUAGUGAAAAGACGACCCCACAACCUAUCAACAAAAUAAAAAAAAUAUGAAGAGGACAACAAGAAGGCAAGGUAAAUCAUGUUGAACCACAUGACAAGCCUUAUUGUUCAUCUCCUGUUCUGCAAGACUUCAGCUAAUGAGAUUUGGGAGCUACUGGAGAGGAAAUAUGAUGCAGAUGAUGCUGGUAGGAAAAGAGAUGCAGUAGGCAACUGGUUGAAGUACAAUUUUCAGAAGGAUAAGCCUAUCAUGUAUCAAGUACAUGUCUAUCAAAACCUCACUACUCAAAUACUUGCUAAAGGAAUGAAGAUCUGUAAAGUUUUUCAAGCAAGUGUCCUUAUUGAGAAGCUGGUACAAUCCUGAGAUGAUUACAAGAUGAAACUCAAAAUCAAGAAAAGAAACAUGUCACUGGAAGAGUUAGUAGGUCACAUAAAGAUUGAAGAAACAAACCAUCAGAAGAUUAAAGCUUUUACUCAGAUGCAUCAUUCUGCAAAAGCAUAUGUUGUGGAGUUUGAGAGAGAAAACAAACUCAAGGCUUCUGUCUAGAAGAAGCCAUCUUGGAAGGAAAGAUCCACUCCUUUCAAGAGACCAUAACAAACUCUCAUAUUAUCUUAUGUUGAUGGCUGCUUUAUUUGUGGAAGGAUGGGACACAGGGUCUAUCAAUGCCGUUUCAGGAAAAAUCUAGGAUCCACCUCAAAAACUCAUCUUCACUUGGUGGAUAAUCAAAAAGGAAAAUCAAUAGAAGAAGAAAUCGGAAAAGAAAUUUUUUUUAUUGUUGUUGUGGUUCAACUGGAAGCAAAUGUGAAGGAAGAGAAGGUGGAAUUGCUUUUUGACUUAGGAGGUUGCCGGCACUUCUGCUCUUCAAAGGAUUUUUUCUCAUUCCUAAAAAAAUAAUAUUGGAGAAAUAGUCUACAUGGGAAUUGUCAGCAGCUCACCUAUAAUGAGAAAGGGGAAGAUCAAUCUCUCUCUCAUCGUGAAAUAAUACUUGUCUUGGUGAUGUUCUGUUUGUACCUUUCUUAAGAAGAAAUUUGAUUUCUCCUGGUCUGCUGAUCAAAGCUGGUCUUAAG
RNAcentral lists this long non-coding RNA (1415 nucleotides) under Linum usitatissimum (flax). RNAcentral's name for it is "long non-coding RNA (LUSI_LNC005700)". The record is from RNAcentral. Lineage: Eukaryota; Viridiplantae; Streptophyta; Magnoliopsida; Malpighiales; Linaceae.